RNAcentral lists this ribosomal RNA (253 nucleotides) under uncultured bacterium. RNAcentral's name for it is "partial 16S ribosomal RNA". It matches the Rfam family "Bacterial small subunit ribosomal RNA", at positions 524 to 776 of the family's 1533-position model. The record is from RNAcentral.
UACGGAGGGUGCAAGCGUUAAUCGGAAUUACUGGGCGUAAAGCGCACGUAGGUGGUUCGCUAAGUCAGCUGUGAAAUCCCCAGGCUUAACCUGGGAACUGCAUCCGAUACUGGAUGGCUUGAAUCCGGGAGAGGGAUGCAGAAUUCCAGGUGUAGCGGUGAAAUGCGUAGAUAUCUGGAGGAAUACCGGUGGCGAAGGCGGCAUCCUGGACCGGCAUUGACGCUGAGACGCGAAAGCGUGGGGAGCAAACAGG